AAAAAAAAAGGAGAAAUGGGGGAAAGAAUGGGAUUGUUUAAAGGUAAAGUACCCAUUUGUUGUUGUGAUUUGUUUGUGGGAAAAAUAAGCUGGUGUUAUGUGGGCGACCUUAUAUAGAAUUAGAAAUAGGUACAUUUUCACUUAUAUAGAAUCUCUUUUAGGGGAAUUGAUCCUAAAAAGAUUAAACAAAUUUUAUUUUGUUAAUGAUUUUCUUACUCAUGUUUGUUCUGCACAGAUCACUAUUUUCGUUAUGUAUUAAUGGGAAUUUAAAAUUUGUCAAGAAUCAAUCGACACCAAGUAAUGAGAAGAAAAAAAGAAGGCAUUGGAGGAGAAAAUCAAGUUUCAGGCGAAUAGUUGUCUCUUUUUUUCUGAAGGCAUUCAGAAUUUCAGAUGUGUACGAGUGUAAUCGGAGACACAACGCCCGACACGGUUAUACGAGUUAACAUAUAAUAUUUACAAAAGAAUGUAACGUGAAAGUUUCACUCGAAAAUAUAUUUAUAUUUUUCUAUCGCCCAUGUUUAUGUGGAACCAUGCCGUUUUAGACA
Molecule: non-coding RNA, 545 nt
Organism: Camelina sativa (false flax)
Lineage: Eukaryota; Viridiplantae; Streptophyta; Magnoliopsida; Brassicales; Brassicaceae
Source: RefSeq, a predicted model, not a curated record